GUGGGGAAUAUUGGACAAUGGGCGCAAGCCUGAUCCAGCCAUACCGCGUGGGUGAAGAAGGCCUUCGGGUUGUAAAGCCCUUUUGUUGGGAAAGAAAUCCUGUCGGUUAAUACCUGGCGGGGAUGACGGUACCCAAAGAAUAAGCACCGGCUAACUUCGUGCCAGCAGCCGCGGUAAUACGAAGGGUGCAAGCGUUACUCGGAAUUACUGGGCGUAAAGCGUGCGUAGGUGGUGGUUUAAGUCCGUUGUGAAAGCCCUGGGCUCAACCUGGGAAUUGCAGUGGGUACUGGAUCACUAGAGUGUGGUAGAGGGAUGCGGAAUUUCUGGUGUAGCAGUGAAAUGCGUAGAGAUCAGAAGGAACAUCCGUGGCGAAGGCGGCAUCCUGGGCCAACACUGACACUGAGGCACGAAAGCGUGGGGAGCAAACAGGAUUAGAAACCCUUGUAGUCC
Molecule: ribosomal RNA, 450 nt
Filed under: uncultured bacterium
Lineage: Bacteria
Description: partial 16S ribosomal RNA
Rfam family: Bacterial small subunit ribosomal RNA
Source: RNAcentral